UACAGAGGAUGCAAGCGUUAUCCGGAAUGAUUGGGCGUAAAGCGUCUGUAGGUGGCUUUUUAAGUCCGCCGUCAAAUCCCAGGGCUCAACUCUGGACAGGCGGUGGAAACUACCAAGCUGGAGUACGGUAGGGGCAGAGGGAAUUUCCGGUGGAGCGGUGAAAUGCGUAGAUAUCAUUUGGAACGCCAAUGGUGAAAACAGCUCGCUGGGAAUGAUCUGACGCUGAGACGCGAAAGCCAGGGGAGCGAACGGG
This 253-nucleotide ribosomal RNA is filed under the name uncultured bacterium. RNAcentral's name for it is "partial 16S ribosomal RNA". It matches the Rfam family "Bacterial small subunit ribosomal RNA", at positions 524 to 776 of the family's 1533-position model. The record is from RNAcentral.